CAGGCUGAGGGUCACAAUGCCUACUUGUGCCCAGGGCAGCCCUCAGGAGUGGGCGUGGUCUCAUUGGCCAUUCAGCAGGCUCCCACUCUGAGGGUUGGACACCCAUCCCAACA
Molecule: long non-coding RNA, 113 nt
Organism: Mustela erminea (ermine)
Lineage: Eukaryota; Metazoa; Chordata; Mammalia; Carnivora; Mustelidae
Exons: 3
Source: RefSeq, a predicted model, not a curated record